AUUGAACGCUGGCGGCAGGCCUAACACAUGCAAGUCGAGCGGAUGAAGGGAGCUUGCUCCUGGAUUCAGCGGCGGACGGGUGAGUAAUGCCUAGGAAUCUGCCUGGUAGUGGGGGAUAACGUCCGGAAACGGGCGCUAAUACCGCAUACGUCCUGAGGGAGAAAGUGGGGGAUCUUCGGACCUCACGCUAUCAGAUGAGCCUAGGUCGGAUUAGCUAGUUGGUGGGGUAAAGGCCUACCAAGGCGACGAUCCGUAACUGGUCUGAGAGGAUGAUCAGUCACACUGGAACUGAGACACGGUCCAGACUCCUACGGGAGGCAGCAGUGGGGAAUAUUGGACAAAGGGCGAAAGCCUGAUCCAGCCAUGCCGCAUGUGUGAAGAAGGUCUUCGGAUUGUAAAGCACUUUAAGUUGGGAGGAAGGGCAGUAAGUUAAUACCUUGCUGUUUUGACGUUACCAACAGAAUAAGCACCGGCUAACUUCGUG
This 484-nucleotide ribosomal RNA is filed under the name uncultured bacterium. RNAcentral's name for it is "partial 16S ribosomal RNA". It matches the Rfam family "Bacterial small subunit ribosomal RNA", at positions 30 to 507 of the family's 1533-position model. The record is from RNAcentral.